GCAAAGUGCGGCGUCAUAGGCAUGCAGUCGAGCGCUCAUCAGCAAUGGUGGGAGCGGCGAACGGCGUAGUAAUGGAUCGGAACGUACCCUCUGGACGGGGAUAGCUGCGGGAAACUGCAGGUAAUACCCGAUGAACUCUGCGGAGCAAAGGUGAGAUUCCGCCGGAGGAGCGGCUGAUCUGAUAUUAGCUUGCUGGUGGGGUAAUGGCCUACCAGGGCGAUGAUGUCUAGGGGGUGUGAGAGCAUGGCCCCCACGACCGGAACUGAGACACUGUCCGGACACCUACGGGUGGCUGCAGUCGAGAAUCUUCCGCAAUGGACGAAAGUCUGACGGAGCGACGCCGCGUGCGGGAUGAAGGCCCUUGGGUUGUAAACCGCUGUCAGAGGGGAUGAAAUCGUCGGGGGUACUCCUCCGAUGUUGACAGAGCCUCAAAGGAAGCACGGGCUAAGUACGUGCCAGCAGCCGCGGUAACACGUACUGUGCGAACGUUAUUCGGAAUCACUGGGCUUAAAGGGUGCGUAGGCGGCGAUUCAAGUCAGGUGUGAAAGGCUUCGGCUCAACCGGGGCACUGCGCUUGAAACUGGAUUGCUGGAGUAUCUCAGGGGUGUGCGGAACUGCCAGUGGAGCGGUGAAAUGUGUUGAUAUUGGCAGGAACACCGGAGGCGAAGGCGGCACACUGGGGGAUAACUGACGCUGAGGCACGAAAGCCAGGGGAGCGAACGGGAUUAGAUACCCCGGUAGUCCUGGCUGUAAACGAUGAGUACUGAGCGGAAAGAAGUUAGCUUUUUUCUGCUGUAGUGAAAACGUUAAGUACUCCGCCUGGGGAGUAUGGUCGCAUGGCUGAAACUCAAAAGAAUUGACGG
RNAcentral lists this ribosomal RNA (863 nucleotides) under uncultured Planctomycetota bacterium. RNAcentral describes it as "bacterial SSU rRNA". It matches the Rfam family "Bacterial small subunit ribosomal RNA", at positions 30 to 916 of the family's 1533-position model. Lineage: Bacteria; Pseudomonadati; Planctomycetota. The record is from RNAcentral.